UUAGAAGUGAGAAUGCCGGUAUGAGUAGCGAAAGAGGGGUGAGAAUCCCCUCCACCGAAUGCCUAAGGUUUCCUGAGGAAGGCUCGUCCGCUCAGGGUUAGUCGGGACCUAAGCCGAGGCCGAAAGGCGUAGGCGAUGGACAACAGGUUGAUAUUCCUGUACCACCUCCUCACCAUUUGAGCAAUGGGGGGACGCAGGGGGAUAGGGUAAGCGCGGUAUUGGAUAUCCGCGUCCAAGCAGUUAGGCUGGGAAAUAGGCAAAUCCGUUUCCCAUAAGGCUGAGCUGUGAUGGCGAGCGAAAUAUAGUAGCGAAGUUCCUGAUUCCACACUGCCAAGAAAAGCCUCUAGCGAGGUGAGAGGUGCCCGUACCGCAAACCGACACAGGUAGGCGAGGAGAGAAUCCUAAGGUGAUCGAGAGAACUCUCGUUAAGGAACUCGGCAAAAUGACCCCGUAACUUCGGGAGAAGGGGUGCUCUGUUAGGGUGCAAGCCCGAGAGAGCCGCAGUGAAUAGGCCCAGGCGACUGUUUAGCAAAAACACAGGUCUCUGCGAAGCCGUAAGGCGAAGUAUAGGGGCUGACGCCUGCCCGGUGCUGGAAGGUUAAGAGGAGCGCUUAGCGUAAGCGAAGGUGCGAAUUGAAGCCCCAGUAAACGGCGGCCGUAACAAUAACGGUCCUAAGGUAGCGAAAUUCCUUGUCGGGUAAGUUCCGACCCGCACGAAAGGCGCAACGAUCUGGGCACUGUCUCAACGAGAGACUCGGUGAAAUUAUAGUACCUGUGAAGAUGCAGGUUACCCGCGACAGGACGGAAAGACCCCGUGGAGCUUUACUGCAGCCUGAUAUUGAAUGUUGGUACAGCUUGUACAGGAUAGGUAGGAGCCUUGGAAACCGGAGCGCCAGCUUCGGUGGAGGCAUCGGUGGGAUACUACCCUGGCUGUAUUGACCUUCUAACCCGCCGCCCUUAUCGGGCGGGGAGACAGUGUCAGGUGGGCAGUUUGACUGGGGCGGUCGCCUCCUAAAAGGUAACGGAGGCGCCCAAAGGUUCCCUCAGAAUGGUUGGAAAUCAUUCGCAGAGUGUAAAGGCACAAGGGAGCUUGACUGCGAGACCUACAAGUCGAGCAGGGACGAAAGUCGGGCUUAGUGAUCCGGUGGUUCCGCAUGGAAGGGCCAUCGCUCAACGGAUAAAAGCUACCCCGGGGAUAACAGGCUUAUCUCCCCCAAGAGUCCACAUCGACGGGGAGGUUUGGCACCUCGAUGUCGGCUCAUCGCAUCCUGGGGCUGUAGUCGGUCCCAAGGGUUGGGCUGUUCGCCCAUUAAAGCGGUACGCGAGCUGGGUUCAGAACGUCGUGAGACAGUUCGGUCCCUAUCCGUCGCGGGCGCAGGAAAUUUGAGAGGAGCUGUCCUUAGUACGAGAGGACCGGGAUGGACGCACCGCUGGUGUACCAGUUGUUCUGCCAAGGGCAUCGCUGGGUAGCUAUGUGCGGACGGGAUAAGUGCUGAAAGCAUCUAAGCAUGAAGCCCCCCUCAAGAUGAGAUUUCCCAUUCCGCAAGGAAGUAAGAUCCCUGAAAGAUGAUCAGGUUGAUAGGUCUGAGGUGGAAGUGUGGCGACACAUGGAGCUGACAGAUACUAAUCGAUCGAGG
RNAcentral lists this ribosomal RNA (1637 nucleotides) under metagenome. RNAcentral's name for it is "bacterial LSU rRNA". It matches the Rfam family "Bacterial large subunit ribosomal RNA", at positions 1282 to 2912 of the family's 2925-position model. The record is from RNAcentral.